Molecule: long non-coding RNA, 605 nt
Organism: Carassius carassius (crucian carp)
Lineage: Eukaryota; Metazoa; Chordata; Actinopteri; Cypriniformes; Cyprinidae
Exons: 3
Source: RefSeq, a predicted model, not a curated record
GCUGAGCUCCUGGAGGCGUACCGUCACCGGAAUGACGAGAACACACAAAUGCACUUGCUAAACUCUGUUGCUGCCCUGAAAAAAACAAACUGCAUCGACUGUUCAUGUAACGCUGGGUUCUUUGGGAAGCUGAACACGAACUGACUGGAGAAAUGGAUUCCUUUUGGGAGAAAAGACCAGCUGAGGGGUCAAAGGUCAGGAUCAGACACUCUCCCCUGAAGCCCUACACGAGAAGGGUCAGUCGGGCAGAUUCUCAGCCAUUAAAAUAGGUAGCGAUGGAAAAGCUUAACUGUCCACUGACCUCAUAUGACCCCGUCUCCUCAUUUGCCCUCUGGACCUAGUGUCGGGAAGUGAAGUCAUCCACACUGAUUUAUCAGUAUACCGUACACACAGUUUCAAUGGAGGGACUGAGAGCUCUCAGACUAAAUCUAAAAUAUCUUAAACUGUGUUCCAAAGAUAAACGGAGGUCUUACGGGUUUGGAACAAAAUGAGAGUAAGUUAUUAAUGACAUAAUUUUGCUAUUUGGGUGAACUAUCCCUUUAAGUACAUAUAAAGUACUAGCAAUGAAAUAAGCUUAUCCAAAACAUAGAAAUCUCCCAUUUUCU